CCUACGGGAGGCAGCAGUGAGGAAUAUUGGUCAAUGGACGAGAGUCUGAACCAGCCAAGUAGCGUGAAGGAUGACUGCCCUAUGGGUUGUAAACUUCUUUUAUAUGGGAAUAAAAUGUUCUACGUGUAGGUUUUUGUAUGUACCAUAUGAAUAAGGAUCGGCUAACUCCGUGCCAGCAGCCGCGGUAAUACGGAGGAUUCGAGCGUUAUCCGGAUUUAUUGGGUUUAAAGGGUGCGUAGGUGGAUGGUUAAGUCAGUUGUGAAAGUUUGCGGCUCAACCGUAAAAUUGCAGUUGAAACUGGCAGUCUUGAGUACAGUAGAGGUAGGCGGAAUUCGUGGUGUAGCGGUGAAAUGCUUAGAUAUCACGAAGAACUCCGAUUGCGAAGGCAGCUCACUGGACUGCAACUGACACUGAGGCACGAAAGUGUGGGUAUCAAACAGGAUUAGAUACCCCUGUAGUC
RNAcentral lists this ribosomal RNA (460 nucleotides) under uncultured bacterium. RNAcentral describes it as "partial 16S ribosomal RNA". It matches the Rfam family "Bacterial small subunit ribosomal RNA", at positions 338 to 795 of the family's 1533-position model. The record is from RNAcentral.